RNAcentral lists this transfer RNA (77 nucleotides) under Clostridia bacterium. RNAcentral's name for it is "tRNA-Met". It matches the Rfam family "tRNA". Rfam says of the family: Transfer RNA (tRNA) molecules are approximately 80 nucleotides in length. The record is from RNAcentral. Lineage: Bacteria; Bacillati; Bacillota; Clostridia.
GGCGGCGUAGCUUAGUUGGUUAUAGCGGCUGGUUCAUACCCGGCAGGUCGUUGGUUCGAGUCCGACCGCCGCUACCA